Molecule: ribosomal RNA, 253 nt
Filed under: uncultured bacterium
Lineage: Bacteria
Description: partial 16S ribosomal RNA
Rfam family: Bacterial small subunit ribosomal RNA
Source: RNAcentral
UACGUAGGGUGCGAGCGUUGUCCGGAAUUACUGGGCGUAAAGAGCUCGUAGGUGGUUUGUCGCGUUGUUCGUGAAAUCUCACGGCUUAACUGUGAGCGUGCGGGCGAUACGGGCAGACUGGAGUACUGCAGGGGAGACUGGAAUUCCUGGUGUAGCGGUGGAAUGCGCAGAUAUCAGGAGGAACACCGGUGGCGAAGGCGGGUCUCUGGGCAGUAACUGGCGCUGAGGAGCGAAAGCGUGGGGAGCGAACAGG